UACGAGGGGGGCAAGCGUUAUUCGGAAUCAUUGGGCGUAAAGCGCACGUAGGCGGUUCGUUAUGUCGGAUGUGAAAGCCCUUGGCUUAACCGAGGAAGUGCAUCCGAAACUGGCGAGCUAGAGUACUAAAGAGGAUCGCGGAAUUCCCGGUGUAGAGGUGAAAUUCGUAGAUAUCGGGAGGAACACCGGUGGCGAAGGCGGCGAUCUGGGUAGAUACUGACGCUGAGGUGCGAAAGCGUGGGGAGCAAACAGG
This 253-nucleotide ribosomal RNA is filed under the name uncultured bacterium. RNAcentral's name for it is "partial 16S ribosomal RNA". It matches the Rfam family "Bacterial small subunit ribosomal RNA", at positions 524 to 776 of the family's 1533-position model. The record is from RNAcentral.